This 76-nucleotide transfer RNA is filed under the name Thermotoga maritima. RNAcentral describes it as "tRNA-Ala (TGC) (tRNA-Ala-TGC-1-1)". It matches the Rfam family "tRNA". From Rfam's summary of the family: Transfer RNA (tRNA) molecules are approximately 80 nucleotides in length. Their secondary structure includes four short double-helical elements and three loops (D, anti-codon, and T loops). Further hydrogen bonds mediate the characteristic L-shaped molecular structure. tRNAs have two regions of fundamental functional importance: the anti-codon, which is responsible for specific mRNA codon recognition, and the 3' end, to which the tRNAs corresponding amino acid is attached (by aminoacyl-tRNA synthetases). tRNAs cope with the degeneracy of the genetic code in two manners: having more than one tRNA (with a specific anti-codon) for a particular amino acid; and 'wobble' base-pairing, i.e. permitting non-standard base-pairing at the 3rd anti-codon position. The record is from RNAcentral. RNAcentral also lists the same sequence under 15 other names. Lineage: Bacteria; Thermotogati; Thermotogota; Thermotogae; Thermotogales; Thermotogaceae.
GGGGACGUAGCUCAGCUGGGAGAGCGCCUGCUUUGCAAGCAGGAGGUCAGGGGUUCGAAUCCCCUCGUCUCCACCA